Molecule: long non-coding RNA, 1132 nt
Filed under: Strigops habroptila (Kakapo)
Lineage: Eukaryota; Metazoa; Chordata; Aves; Psittaciformes; Psittacidae
Description: lncRNA (ENSSHBG00005005095.1)
Source: RNAcentral
GUUGUCAUAUUGAUGUGAGUCCUUCAAUAGCUUCUUACAAAUACAUUUGUCUUUUCCAUGCCAAAUCUGUUAACAGUACUUCUCUUGAAUCAGUGAAGUUACUUUUUUUUUAAAGACAUGUCUUGAGGAAGGUUGGACCUGGGUAACAAACACCCAUAUAUAGUAGGGGGCAUAUACCAGUACGUAGGUAGGAUGAGGGCAAGGGAAACUCAGAAGGCAUUUGUGGAGCUGUUCUUUCAAUUCAUUUCACCUGCUAUAGAAUCAUAUGCUUGGGCUGUCCUGGAUUUUAAGAACUUAGAAGGAGGUGAUUCUGCAGCACACCCUGUUACAAGAUUUCUUGAAGCAAAAGGGUGGUUUAUUCAUACAAAAUGAAAUUUUUGAUAGUGAGAUCUAGAUAAUGGUGAGUUGCAUGAGUUGCCUUGGUAACGUAGUGCCUCUAAAGUCUUAUGCCUAGCUUUAAGACUUAGGGGGGAGAGGGGAAGAAAUGGAAAAAUAAUCAUUAUGCAGAGAAAUGUCCAUGUUUGUCAAAGGGACAGAACUUGCAGAGAACUUUUUGUCUCUCUAAAUUCUAGGAGAUCUCCCCCUCCCUGCCUAAGGUGAACAAUAGAAACUAUGGUGAUGCUGGAUCCAGCUCUUGUGAAAUGAGGUGCUUGUUUUCUUUCAGACAAAACCAAAAUCUGUCCCUAUUUAGAAAAAAAAAAAUACAGCAAAAUAUGUGAUCUCUUUUGGUUACAAUUUAAAGGACAGAUCAAGAAUCAAGAUCUAGUAUUUCUUUUCUGUAGAUGAGGUAUAGAAGGAGAAUCACCAGCUCUACUGUAUUUCCUUUCUCAUAUGAGGAGCCUUGUGUGUUUAAAGCACAAGAAUCAGUGGUUCACCAGUGGCAAAAGAUGCCUUUUUUCUUUUUCCUUUUUUUUUUUCUUUUUUUUUUUUUUAAGUUUUGAGAAACUUCAGUGACUUAGUUUGUGCUGACCAGCAGUGUGCUCCGAUUUAGCAGCAUUUCAGGAGCAUUUUCCCAGGGAGAGCUUGUGUGCAAGGUUUCCCCAAAAAACAUUUCUUUUUGUUGGUAAUGAGUUGUUAGGAAGACAGAUAGAAACACAAGGCUUUUGUGGAGCUUCCUCUGUCUUCUCGAGAA